Molecule: unclassified non-coding RNA, 263 nt
Filed under: plant metagenome
Description: partial contains small subunit ribosomal RNA, internal transcribed spacer 1, and 5.8S ribosomal RNA
Source: RNAcentral
UUUCCGUAGGUGAACCUGCGGAAGGAUCAUUAUUGUAUAACCGAGGUGCGAGGGCUGUCGCUGACCCGAAAGGUCGUGCACGCCCGAGUGCCCUCACACACAUCCAUCUCACCCCAAUGUGCACCACCGCGUGGGUCCCCCUUGGGCUUGUUCGGAGGGGGGCUUACGUUUUCACACAAACUUUGUAUGCAGUGUAGAAUGUAUUUUUUGUUUUUGCGAUCACGCAAUCAAUACAACUUUCAACAACGGAUCUCUUGGCUCUC